Long non-coding RNA from Hypanus sabinus (Atlantic stingray), 5373 nucleotides. RefSeq lists it as uncharacterized. The record is from RefSeq and is a predicted model, not a curated record. The transcript has 2 exons. Lineage: Eukaryota; Metazoa; Chordata; Chondrichthyes; Myliobatiformes; Dasyatidae.
ACAAAUUACAUGUCCAUCUUUAGUGUUGUUUAAGAGAUUUGUAUUCCUCCCCCAAAGCUGCAGGAAUGAGUAUCGAUGAAAAAUUAGUGAAAAGGUAAUGUUUUACUUGUGAUGGUCAUUAAUCAUGAGGGGACAAAUCCUUUCAAGACAUGUCCUGUCAAAGAAGGUAAAAGUCAAUAUGUAACCAAUAUAACUGCAGCCAAAAAUAAGUUUAUCUUUCCAGGCAUUCAGGUCCAUUCUUCCUUCCCCCUCCAGUUGAUUAUUAACCCCUUCCUCUGAUUUAUGAGUGAAAUCUCAUAUCAUGCUCGAUUCACUUAAUUGACAGAGAACAAUUUUCCCUUGAAAUCAGUCAGUUGGAGAAGUACAUGCACUGUGUGAUUUGAGACCAGCUGGGUGUAAGGAUAGGAAGAGAUGUUUGAGGACCUGAGGCACUAAUGGAGAAAAUAUACAUCUAGGGCGUUCAGCCCUUGCAGUCUCUCGACAGGAAGGUCAAAGAUGAUGAGGAUGGACGGCAUUUCUAUUAUUUCGUCCAGUAUCCAUGGUGGUAGGAGGACUGGCACUGCACUUUACACUGCAGAGAAGUCUCAAUCACUUUGCCCUCUCGAGGUAUCUGCUCAAUGUGACAUUGGGAAUUGGAGCUUUGUAUUAACAUUUUUGAAAUGUUUUUUCCCCAACACUGACAUAUCAAAAUUAAUAAUAGUUCACAUGUUUAAAGAGCAAGACCAGCAUGGUUUUUUUAAAGACAUGAUUAACAACUAGCUCUUAUUUGUCACAUCUACAUUAAAAUAUACAGAGAAAUGCAUUUUUUGUGACAACGACCAACCCAGUCCAUGGAUGAGCUGGGGGCAAACUGUAAGGACCAUAAGGGUUCAGGCACUAACAUAGAAUGCCCGCAAAUGAUCACAACCUCGAUUUAGCUUGCAUAGCAGGUAAAGUGUUGCUUAACUCUCCAAGCAAAACAGAAUGUGAGCUUAAGGCGAGGGAGGUAUGCAGUCUUGGUCAAUUCAGUCCUGAUUGGCACUUCUGUUCCGCAUUACUGAUACUGACCUUCUUGCCCCCUAACUCCCAAGCCACUCAAUAAGUGUAACAUUUAGAUUGAUGUUUUUCCCAGUUAUAAAGAGCAGCGUCUUAAAUGUUAAUAAUAUCGUGUUUCUCUUAUCGUCAAAAGCACAGGAACUUUAAUGAUUCUGUACAAAACAUUAAAUCCAGCAAAAGCAGUCAUUUUCUGCACUCAUUACUACCUCACCAUAUCUUUCAGCACUUUCAGUCUGUAAAAAUGCACUAAUUAUCUCUUAGAGACUUUCCAUAUUAUUGAUUCCAUCGCCCUUUGAGAGAUAGAUUUAUUUGACUUAAUUUCUUGCAAACUUUGGACUUAGGUCUCAUAGCAGUGAACAAUUCUUGCUUUACUCAGUUUAGCAAAGAUUGAAUUGAUUCAGAUUAUGUCAGAUGGCAUGAUUUAGCACCAGACUGAUUGGUGGAGAAUUGUUUAUGUUUCGUUGAUCUCUGGAGCCUGUUAUGACCAACAGAUAUUAUAGACUGACACUCACAACUAGCGACUUGGGUUAUAAAAGUACAAGAGCAACUUUGUGCAUGUCUGCCUAAUACCCUUAUCACAAAAUUAGAUUCCCAGUGGGAGAACGUUUAAGGAAGUGUUAUGCAAAACACUGUUAUAAUGUCUAUAAAUGUUUUUUUCUUAAGCUCUGCUCCCACAUGGCAUUUGAUAAUCCAGCCAAAACACUUCUGAGAUGUUAUACCUCUGGAAGAAACAAGAAACAGUUUUAAAGUGCCCUGUGAAAGGAACAAUUUUUUUCUCUGCAAAGCAAUUUUAUUUAGUCAAGUUUCUGUUCAAACUCACUUGCAAAUCUGCUGGGUCAGAGCAGCAAGCAUCAUUUUACUUUUUAUAAUUAAUUUUUGGUCUGUGUCAGAAAGGUUGCAGUAUGGUUUCAGAAAUAAAUCUGGGAUAGGCUUAUCAUAAAACUUUGUAUUUAACCAAUACAUCACCAUUAAACCAUUAAAAAUAACAGUUAAAAUGAAAAAACGUAACCAUUUGCUGAAAGAUUUGGUGUAUUAUAGGCAGUUCCUCUGUAAAAAAUGUAUACCUACUCUUUUAGUUUUUAACUAUUAAUAGCAUUAUAAGAAAAUGAAAAAGACAAAUUUUAAGAGCUAAAGAUCUUGAAGUUUUUCAAGCAAGUAUGUUUUACAGAAAAUUAACAAUGUGAUUUCUAUAACUUUGGGAAAAUGUUGUGAGAUCUUGGGAGUACAGAUUGAUAGUUCACUGAAAGUGGCACCACAAAGUAGCCAGGGAGGUUAGGAAGAUAUGUGGUAUGUUUUCCUUCAGUGAUGGGGAAGUCAUUCAGCAGCUGUGUAGAUAGUCAGAAUCUUUAUCUUAGGGUAGAAAUUUCAGAUGCUAGAGAUGAUACAUUUACGAUGAGAGAGGAAUAGGUUGAGGGAGAUGUGUGGGUUGUUUUUUUUACACAGCAAGUGGUAGGUGCUUGGAACAUGCCACCAGUGGAAGAGGUGCAGGCAGACACUUAGCAAUGUUUAAGAGACAUUUAGACUGGUGCAUGAGCCGGCAGGAAAUUGAGGGACACUGACUAAAUGCAGGCAGAUAUGCAAGUUUAAAUUGGCAUUGUGUUUGGGACAGAGUCCAUGAGCUAAUCAGCCUGUUUCUGUACACUGCUGUUCUAAAUUCUUUAAUUCCAGGAUACAAGUCGCAGCAGGAGGAGGCCAUUUACCCCUUAGUACUGUGCUCUCACAAUGAGAUCAUGAGCAACAACCUGGCACUCAACGUCAGUGAGAUCAAAGAGUUGAUUGUGGACUUCAGGAAGGGUAACAUGAAGGAAGACAUACCGAUCCUCAUAGAGGGAUCAGAUGUGGAGAGAGUGAGCAGCUUCAAGUUCCUGAGUGUCAAGAGCUCUGAGGAUUUCAUCUAGUCCCAACAUAUCAAUGCAGCAAUAAAGAAGGCAAGAUGGCGACUAUACUUUUUUAGGAAUUUGAUGAGAUUUGGUGUGUCAACAAAAACACUCAAAAACUUUUAUAGAUGUACCAUGGAGAGCAUUCUGUCAAGCUGCAUCAUUGUCUGGUAUGCAGGGGCUAUUGCACAGGAUCGAAGGAAACUGUAUAUGGUUGUAAAGUUAGUUGGCUCCAUCUUGGGUACGAGCCUACAAAGUACCAAGGACAUCUUCAAGGAGCGGUGUCUCAGAAAGGCAGUGUACGUUAUUAAGAACUCCCAGCACCCAAGGCAGGCACUUUUCUCAUUGUUACCAUCAGGUAGGAGGUACAGAAGCCUGAAGACACACACUCAGCGACUCAGGAACAGCAUCUUCCGCUCUGCCAUUCAAAUCUGAAAAUGGGCAUUGAACUACCUCACUUUUUAAAACAUUUUAUUUCUGUUUUUGAAUGAUUUUUAAUCUAUUCAAUAUACAUAUAGUGUAAGUUAUUUAUUUAUCUACUAUAUUAUGUAUUGCAUUUAUUGCUGCUGCUAAGUUAACAUAUUUCUCGACACCUGCUGGUGAUAAUAAACCUGUUUCUGAUUCACCUACAUCAAACCCACCUUUUCUUCUACAAGAACCUACGAAAAUAGGAGCAGGAACUUGCCACUGGGCCCUUCCCACCUGCCCGCCAUUCAGUGUGUUCUGUGCUGGACUCAAAUUCUCUUUAGUGCCUAUAUUCCAUCAACCUCAUUCCUUAAUCUUUCAUAUAGUUUUCUGUUUCCACCUUCAAUGUAUCUAUAGUCUUUCCUCCACCAUUUGCAGCAUAAGAGAAUUCCAGAGUUUCACUUUCCACUGAGAAGAAAUUUCUGCUCACCUGAAGUUUUAAGUGACCAAACCUUUGUUUUGUAAAUUUGUCCCUUUUCUCGUGGAUCUCCUAGUAGUGGGAACAUCUCAAUAUCUACUCUGUCCAGCUCCCUUAAGAUCUUACAGUUUUGAAUCAGGUCACGUAUAUGUCUAAACUCUUCUAAGUUCCACAUUUAUAUUUCCAAUCCCCACAUACUUUGAUCUAAAAAUGUAUUGAUGCCAGCUGUAGCUACUACACUAUUUUCUGCCCUCUAUUCUCUUUCUUAAUUGCCUACUAUCACACAGGUCCACAGCAGAUGCUGUUUCAUUGGUUCUUCCCUCAACCUGUAACAUCUAGACAAUAAAGAUGCAUACCUCAGGAUGUUGUAUAUUGACUACAGUUUGACAUUCAAUACUAUCAUGCCUUCAAAUCCAAUCAAUAAACCUUAAGACCUUUGUCUCAAUACCUUCUUGUGCAGUGGGUCUUUGAUUUCAUCACUUGUUGACCACAAUCGGUUCAGAUUGGCAAAAAUAUCUCCUCACAACCUCCAACAGCACAAGUGCAUCACAUCCUUGUAAGCUUAGCUCCCAGUUCUACUUGCUUUAUACUUAUGAAUGUGAGGCUAAGCACAGCUCAAACGCCAUAUUCAAGUUUGUUGAGGACACCACUGCCGUAGACCUAAUCAAAAGUGAUGAUGAAUCAGUAUAUAGGAGGGAGAUUGAAGAUGUGGCUGAGUGGUGCCAAAGCAACAACCUCCUGCUCAAUGUCAGCAAGACCAAGGAGAUGAUUAUUGACUUCAGGAGGAUGAAACCAGAGGCCAGUUCGCAUCGGAGGACCGAAGAAGGAGAAAGUCAGCAUUUUUAAAUACCUCGGUGUUUUCAUUUUAGAGGAUCUGUCCUAGGCCCUUCGGUGUAGGUGCCAUUAUGAAGAAAGCAUAGCAGUGCCUCUACUUCCCUAGAAGUUUGUGAAGAAUUGGCCUGACAUCUAAAACUCUCACCAACUUCUAUAGGUGUGUGGUGGAGAGUGUAUUGACUGGUAGCAACAUGGGCUGGUAUGAAAAUACUGAUGCCUUUGAAUGGAAAAUUCUACAAAAAGUACUGGAUAUGGCCCAGCCCAUCACAGGUAAAGACCUCCCCAGCGCUGAGUGUAUCCUCAUGCAGAGCUGUGCAGGAAAUGCAGCAUACAUCAUCGAGGGCCCCACCACCAGGUCAUGCUCUCUUCUCACUGCUGUCGUCGGGAAGAAGCUACAGGAACCCCAGGACCUACAUCACCAUGUUCAGAAAUAGUUAUUACAUCUUAACCACCAUGCUCAGAGAGGUUAACUUCACUCAACUUCACCUGCCCCAUCGUUGAACUAUUUCCACGACCUAUAUACACACUUUAAAGGACUCUUCACCUCAUGUUGUCGAUACUUAUUGCUUUUUUUUUGUAAUUAGACAAUUUGUUGUCUUUUGCAUAUUGGUUGUUUGUCCUUCUUGUUGGAUGUGGUCUUUCAUUAAUUCUAUUGUGUUUCACUGUAUGCCAGUAAGGAAAUUAAUCUCAGGGUUGUAAAUAGUGACAUAUUUGUACUUUGAUAAUAAAUUUACUUUAAACAUU